CGGGAAGGAUGGCUGGGACUGCACAGAGCUGAAUCCUGUUGGUCUGUUCCCUCAUCACUGCUGAGCUUGUGGGAAUCAGGUGGGAGUCUGGGUAGGUGUCAGGACCUUUUGGACUCUUACUCUCUCCUGUUUGACACACUCUUACUGUGCCCUGACAGUUGUUUUCAGAAUAAAUUAUCCGUCACUGCUUCUUUCCUGUCCUUUUACUUUCAUUCCAGUAAAGUUCAGAGGCAAGGAUCUGACUACAAUUUUACUGUCUUUGCUUUUGACACCUCCAUAGCUGCCAAGCAGAGUGGUUAUCUCUAUGAAAUGUCAUUGCUGGAACUCAGAUUCUGGAGCACCCUCUGGCCCCACACCCCUCAGAAGCUGAGAAGGGCCGGGUGCUCCUCAGCAGUGCUGCUGCUCCCAGGCCUAUUGAAGGUACUGCUGAACCUUUCCCAGGAACUUGUCUCUGCAUGCUGUGAAGACAACAUGCUCUCUGCUGUUUGGAUCAAUGCUACAAGGACCAUGGGAGUUGGGAACUCUUGAAGUGACACGCAAAUGGGCAAGCUGGGAGACUGUGGUAGAAGAGCUUGCAGCCUAUGAUCAGUCAACCACUUCCUAGGAACAAGAGCCCUUAGGGGACAGUCUUGCUGAUCCCAAAGCUGAAAGACAUGGUGCCUGUACAGGACCCCUCUGAGCUGACAGUGGGAUAAACAGGUAAGCUGAGAGAUGAUUUUGUUCUUUGGUAAAUGUAGUUUGCAUGCCAGUUAGGUGCAUUUAACAGCUGGGAUGUCUUUUCAGGUGAACACUCAAAGAAGGGAGAAGUGGAUUAUAUAGUUCUUAUUUAUCUCCUUCUUUAGCCUCUUUUAGUAUCAUGCAAUCCCUUAUUCUUUAAGUUUACUCAGCUCCUCAGUUAGCUGAUGUUCAUUUAAUUGACAUGUGCUUUACUUAAGAAUGUGCCUUUUCUUUUCCAAAUCUGUGUUUCACUGAGGUGAGCAGGGCUACCUAGAUUGUGGUGUGCUUUCCAGUAUAAAUAAAACAGCUGGCUUGGAACCUGGCUGGAUUGAGAGCACCUCUCAAU
Molecule: long non-coding RNA, 1063 nt
Filed under: Cairina moschata (Muscovy duck)
Lineage: Eukaryota; Metazoa; Chordata; Aves; Anseriformes; Anatidae
Description: domestica (muscovy Duck (domestic type)) lncRNA (ENSCMMG00000006701.1)
Source: RNAcentral